GCUUCGUAGAGAAGUCCACAUUCUACUUUGCUCCCAGCAUUCCGUCUUGCAUGAGGCAACCGAUUAACAGCAAAUUCAUUUCAGCACAACAUUUCCAUUUGAAGAAAAGCAGGGCAUAGAACUCUGGUCAUAAUUAAAAGCUUGUUUCGUUCGUCGUUUGAAAUUCCAUGUACUGCUGCAACAGCAGCACCCCUCCUCGCCAGGCUCUGCCUAAAGGACAUCAUUCUUCCAGCGCACGACUCCCAUCAGAACCCCGGCAGCAAGAGCCACGCAGGUUUCCCAGUGCCUCGGGCUGUGGCUUCCAUGCUAGGCCAGCACUGACACGAUGGGAGUGGUGUCCCAACAACUACAGGAUCGGAAGCUGGCCGACUGCUCUGUAGAAUGCAGACAUGUUAGUAAUCACUGACAGUUCCACUGACAGGCUGCUCAGCUAAACUGGGAAAACUCCACAAAAUAGAAAGAACCCAUGGGGAGCACUUCUCUCUCCAACCUGGCAGCAAACGGUGGCUGUGCAGACGACCUCUUCGGGAUAACCAUCGACUGCAUCUCAGCCUCCAUGGCGUUUCACACUCUGCCUUUAUAUAGAGAUGAACCAUGCAUCCUGAGUGCUACAAAGAUUCACCUCCUUCCGGGCAGAAGGGUGCAUCUUUCCAUCACGGGGUCUUCACGCGAGCCGGCCCAGGAUUUGCAGAGUGGGUGAGUCUAACGUUGAUGAUACUUUCUCAAUAUUCCCUUCACACCCUUCCAAAAACAAGAGUACUGCCAGCUUCUUACCGAGGUUGUAAUGAGCAAAAUAUUUUUCUCUUAUUUGUCACUUUUUAACGUAAUACUAGUGAAGAAUGUGACUCUACAUGUACACUGUAAGCACCCACACCGUGAACAUUCUGCUCUCCCGUGACUGUAUUCACAGGUCACAAGGACAAAACUUCUCCAUAGUAGCCAAAAUUUAUUUAUUUAUUUAUUUAUUUAUUUAUUUAUUUAUUUAUUUAUUUAUUUCUGUUAACAUGACUUCCACUCAUCUGAAAGUCACAGAUGUGGCUUUUCCUUCAUAAAAAGAUCCAAAGGAUCCACAAGCCAGGUUUAAUAAACACGUUGGUCCAGGUAGGAAAAUGAUCCUUCAGUCUCCCUCCCCUCAAAGAACAGGGCAGCCAGGAAACUGCGCUCUCCAGUCAAUGACAGCUGGCAGGAUUCCCUAAGUAAGCAACCGGAAGAUUCCCAUCUCGCAGAGCGCGCCUUUCAAGACAAAGAACAUACUACCCAACUGAGGACUGAGGCAGUAAAGAAACAUGUUUUCGGCCGGGUGCGGCGGCUCACGCUUGUAAUCCCAGCACUUUGGGAGGAGGAGGCAGGCGGAUCACAAGGUCAGGCGAUCGAGACCAUCCCGGCUAAGACGGUGAAAUCCCCGUCUCUACCAAAAAUACAAAAAAUUAGCCAGGCGUGGUAGCGGGCACCUGUAGUCCCAGCUACUCGGGAGGCUGAGGCAGAAGAGAGGAGUGAAGCUGGGAGGCAGAGUUUGCAGUGAGCCAAGAUCACGCCACUGCACUCCAGCCUGGGCGACAGAGCAAGACUCUGUCUCAAAAAAAUAAAUAAAUAAAAAUAAAAAUAAAUAAAAGUAAAAAUAAAAUAAAUAAAAUUAAAAAUGUGUCCUCUUGUUUUGGCCUUUGAGACAAAGCCUCUUAUUUAAUCGAGUUCUGACUGAAUUUGACUCACAGUACUCUGGCAGAUUCUUCAUUUUCUGGUGAGAUAGACGAAUGUCGCAGGGUGAGGGCAAUGCCAGCCCUUUCAGGGUCAACUUUUUGAGGAGUGAUGUCUGGCAGAACACAAUCCAACACCAUAGUAGGAUCCCCCACCCAAGAACUUAGACGCUUUCUGGUACUUACUCUGUCUGCUUGUUUCCCUUUCUUGAAUUCAGCUGAGGGGAAAAAAAAACAAAAAAAUCAAAACCAGAAACGAACAGCCCAUGUGUUUUUGUGUCUGAAAAGUUAAUACAUCCACAUCCAACUUUCUAAAUGAGACACGGCAGGUAUGAUGGUCACCGAACAGUGGCCACUGUUGACAAAAUGCAAAGUCUUCUGCAAACAUGAACGAGUUUCUAGGAAUACAAAGUCAAGGGAAUUUACUCCACAUAUUAAAGCUGUCAAGGGUGCUCAUCAAAAAUGUACUUAGAGGUUUUCCUUUAAAGUUAUUUUUGAAGAUUUUUAAGUUGCAAUAGUUAAAAGCCUCUGGGAAAAGAAAGGAUACAGCUAUCUGGAAGAUUUAUACUAAAUGAUUUUCAUGUCUUUUUUGAUAAAGUUAAAUAAGAUCAGCCUUGAAGUAAUGGGUUCCACUACUCUGAGGCUGUGGAUGGAAUCCACACCACGAGACAAUUGAAUAAACAGCAAGGCUGCACACACAGGAUGCAGGCAGUGAGCCAGCCUGACUAUAGUCAUGUUCUGGGUCAGUUCUACCCAGUUCUGCCCAGGCCCCACUGGAGAUGAAAACCUGCCCUGUAGAAGUCUUCAAUCCCCACCUUUCAAAAUCUAAUCCUCUUCAACUGAGGCCCGAGUCCAAAAUCUACUGACAUCUUAGCCCGCGUUAGACCAGCUGUCCCCCAGCCUUUUUGGCACCAGGGAUGGGUUUCAUGGAAGACAAUUUUUCUGGGGGCUGGUUUUGAAUUGCAACUGUUCCACCUCAGGUCAGGUAUUGGAUCCUCAUAAGGAGCACCUCCGAGAUCCCUCACAUACAGUUUACAAUAGGGUCCCAGCGCCUAGGAGAACAUGCGGCUUAAAGAGGUCCAGCGCCUAGGAGAACACGCGGUUAUGAUAGGGCCCCAGCACCUAGGAAAACAUGCGGCUUACGAACAGGUAUAUAUCUACGAGAACAGGUAUGAAAUGAAUUGGUAAAGCCAAAAUCCACCGGAUCUACCACUCCAAAACAAACACCACUCUCCAAUAUUGAUGUGAGCCAAAAACAUGGAAGUCCUGAGGGCCCACACUGACCACAGCCAGACACCACUUCUGCAAGAAGCAAGCAAGCGCCUAGAGAUCACCCGUGAUGACCCAGGAGAACAGUUUGAGCAGAGACAAAUGUGAAGGAGAGGCAUAUAGGCCAGGGUGCUGGGUGUGCCCGUCUUUGUGACCUCACUGAGAUUGCUGACCUCUAGCCCUUGGUGUCUGUCCUAUGGAGGAGGUAGCCCCCAAAUCCCUGCCUCCCUUCAGCACUGACUGAGGUGGCCCUGAAGUCUCCCCAGGGCUGAGACUGCUUCUAAAUCCUGUUAACUGCACAUCCACAUAAAAAACAAAAAACAAAAUAUCAAGUAUGCAGACGGGAAAACAAAAAUACGUGAAUCCUCCCUUAUUCAACAGGCAUUUAAAAAGUAAUAGGAAAAUUGUGAUAGGCUUUAAACAACCACCAGCUAUCACGUCCUGUUGACAUGUUUUAGCUAAUCAGGAACAUCUUUACCAAGCACCUGUGUGUUCAGGAAAUCAGUUGACAGGUCCCAAAUAACCUCGGAGCCUGCGACCUGGCCCCCACUCACGCACAUCACCUCUCCCAGAGAACGAGCCCUGGACACCUUUCAAAUGGUGAGGAACAGGAACAAGGGUAGCUUUCCCUCAACACCACAAAACAAGCUCGACCCCGAGGAGCCCGGAGAACAGCGACGUUUGUUUAGAUGCUUUCCCACUGACCUUGUCAGAGGAACGUUCCAUCCCACACGGCCCAGUGUUUUACUCUCCUGGAUACCAGCAGCCAAUCAACUCUCAACAAGCUGGAAACAGAGGCCAAGCUGACAGGAGGCCUCUCUCCAUUCCCUACUGAAUUCGCUCAGGACACGGAUGUUCCCAACACACACGGCCCGAGUAUUCCACACCUGGAGAACAUUCAAACAACAGACGCUGCAAAGACGUUCCCCUAAAGAGAAACUCAGUUUCUAACUUCCCUUAGGGAAAAAUAUGAGAUCCAGAACUUUCCAAAAAAAUCAAGUGUGGGAUGAAGCCACUCACCUCUGGCACUUCCUAACCUUGCCUUCCCCAGGUGCUCAGGCAUGGCCCCGUGACAGCCCCGUCCACCAG
This is a long non-coding RNA of Macaca mulatta (Rhesus monkey), 4052 nucleotides long. The record is from Ensembl. NCBI's taxonomy places the organism in Eukaryota, Metazoa, Chordata, Mammalia, Primates, Cercopithecidae.